Molecule: ribosomal RNA, 457 nt
Filed under: uncultured bacterium
Lineage: Bacteria
Description: bacterial SSU rRNA
Rfam family: Bacterial small subunit ribosomal RNA
Source: RNAcentral
UACGGAAGGCAGCAGUGGGGAAUAUUGCACAAUGGGCGAAAGCCUGAUGCAGCUAUGCCGCGUGUAUGAAGAAGGCCUUAGGGUUGUAAAGUACUUUCAUCGGGGAGGAAAAACAAAACUAAUAAUUUUAUUUCUUGACGUUACCCGAAAAAGAAGCACCGGCUAACUCCGUGCCAGCAGCCGCGGUAAUACGGAGGGUGCUAGCGUUAAUCAGAAUUACUGGGCGUAAAGAGCACGUAGGUGGUUUUUUUAAGUCAGAUGUGAAAUCCCUGGGCUUAACCUAGGAACUGCAUUUUGAAACUGAAAUACUAGAGUAUCGUAGAGGGAGGUAGAAUUCUAGGUGUAGCGGUGAAAUGCGUAGAUAUCUGGAGGAAUACCUGUGGCGAAAGCGGCCUCCUAAACGAAUACUGACACUGAGGUGCGAAAGCGUGGGGAGCAAACAGGGAUAGAUACCCGU